Suricata suricatta (meerkat) is the source of this 1298-nucleotide long non-coding RNA. RefSeq lists it as uncharacterized. NCBI's taxonomy places the organism in Eukaryota, Metazoa, Chordata, Mammalia, Carnivora, Herpestidae. The transcript is spliced from 2 exons. The record is from RefSeq and is a predicted model, not a curated record.
AUUUCCUGUGGUCCAACAGACAUUCCUCUCAGCGUUUAUCACUCACAUACAUUUGUUUUGGCAGAUACUGGGUCUUGGGUAAGAACAACAAGAAACGGUUGGAGGGAAAGCUACCUCAGGAAAAAAAAAAAUGCAGUUAUUGUCAGGAGAAGAAAGUGAGACUGAAUCAACUCCUAUCUCAAAGGAAAACAAAUACUACCAAAAUGGACCCGAGAGAUCCGAAAUGUGAGAAUGUGCGUGCCACUUACACAGCUGUGCCACAUUUUGAUUGCAAUGGCAACUCAGAGUGAAGAACAGUCCCUGAACAGGCGGCUAAGGUGUUGGCAUUUCAUCUGUGUCAAGUGGAGUCUUUAUUCAGAGGCAAAGGGAAAAAUCUGGGGAAUGUGGCCAAGGUCAUCCGAUCAUCAUCAGCGGAGGGAAUGCACUUGCUGCUGUGGCCAAGCAGAUGGAAUUCACUACGUUAUUUUUCUAGGCUUUUGGAAGUUGAGCUAAGAGAUAAGGGUGGAAGGCCCUUUGCAUAUUUGCUAACAUUCAGUGAGUCCUUACUCUGUGCCAGGCCCUGUACUAAGUGAAUGGUUUUCAGGGUGUCAGUCAUUAGAACUUUGUAUGACAAGGCUCCCGAUUGUAACUCAAGAUGUUCUAUGAAGUCUCCAAGAGGUGGCCUGAUUUCCUUGGAGUCAUGACCAAGGCCAGAACAGCUGGUGUUCCUCUCCUAACACAGCUCUGGUUCCAACGACAGGCAAUUGGACUUGGGAUGUUUAGUGAGGAAGGUUCUGUGUUUGAGGCACUCCGGCCACCAGUGAACCGAUGGAGUUCCUAUUCUUCGACAUCGGCCUCCUUCAAUUGAUCCACGUUUAAAUUUAUACUUUAAAUAUAUUCUGCCUUAACUGCUCCUGCCUUAUUUUUACAAAUAUUACACUCUGAGGUUCAAUUUAGAGGAAGCAAUCUUAGAAAUUAAUAAAAAAAACAUAGCUGCAGCUCAUAUCCAACGAAACAAUUAAAAACACACAUGCGCACAGAUUACUCUUAGACCACUGGUGAACACGGAGCCUUAAACAAUGGGAUGUUAUGCAAAUGACACAGUAUUUCUGCCAUCUUCUAGAAGAGUGCUAUGGUCAUUAAGGAAAGGUUGUUUCGGUCAGGUCAAUAGUUGCAAAACACAGUGAGUCAUGUAAGACCAUUUAUUAAGCUUUGUGGACAGUUACAAUGAAAGUAGAGAGCAUGGUUCUUUUUUCUGUAAACUAUUUACUGCCAAAUGGGAAAAAAAACCCAAUAAAUGUAUGCAUCCAUAGCAAAUA